UUUGAUUGUUUUAUAGGAGGGUAGUUCCUGCUUGGUAAAGCAUGAGGAGGGUCCCCAAAGAAACGCCACUGCAGAAUCAGAGCCCGCAACACAGAAAUUGCAAAUGCCUCUUUGUUCUGAAUGUGAGGAGAAAAAAGGCUCAGAGAAACAAUCAGCCAGUUUCGAUGGGAUUCCAGCGAGAGAAGAAAAAAUACUGUAAACAGGAGAUGCAGAGGAGUCAAAAGUGUCUCUUUCCUGCUGUGUUAUGUUUCUAGAGUGCAGGCUCCAUGGGAACCAUGUUUCUAAAGCAUGCAACUUUUUCAAACUUUUCUGUAACUUUAUAAUGUUGACCACACGAUUUCCAAAAGAUUCCAAGCUAAUUGUGAACUUUAGCAAUAAUCUAAUGAAAAGGUUUUCUUCACUUAAACAUAUGUAAUUGUCCUCCCUAAAAUUACUCAGCAUAAACGGAUCUGUUUUGAACUAAAAUGCAACCUUAACCUUU
Phodopus roborovskii (desert hamster) is the source of this 481-nucleotide long non-coding RNA. RefSeq lists it as uncharacterized. The record is from RefSeq and is a predicted model, not a curated record. The transcript is spliced from 2 exons. Lineage: Eukaryota; Metazoa; Chordata; Mammalia; Rodentia; Cricetidae.